RNAcentral lists this non-coding RNA (29 nucleotides) under Homo sapiens (human). The record is from RNAcentral. Lineage: Eukaryota; Metazoa; Chordata; Mammalia; Primates; Hominidae.
UGACUUCGUUGUCAGUGACUCUAUGAUGG